GAUGAAGAACGUAGUGAAAUGCGAUACUUGGUGUGAAUUGCAGAAUCCCGCGAAUCAUCGAGUUUUUGAACGCAAGUUGCGCCCGAAGCCAUUCGGCCGAGGGCACGUCUGCCUGGGUGUCACGCAUCGUUGCCCCCCCAAACUCCGGUUCGGGCGGGGCGGAAGUUGGCCUCCCGUGUGUGCCUGCGCGCGCGGUUAGCCCAAAAGCGAGUCCUCGGCGACGAGCGCCACGACAAUCGGUGGUUUUUUUACCCUCGUUCCUCGUCGUGCGUGUCCCGUCGCCCGAACGCGCUCUUGUGACCCUCACGCGUCGCCUCGGCGGCGCUCCCAACGCGACCCCAGGUCAGGCGGGACUACCCGCUGAGUUUAAGCAUAUCAAUAAGCGGAGGA
RNAcentral lists this unclassified non-coding RNA (390 nucleotides) under soil metagenome. RNAcentral describes it as "partial contains 5.8S ribosomal RNA, internal transcribed spacer 2, and large subunit ribosomal RNA". The stretch from base 1 to 122 matches the Rfam family "5.8S ribosomal RNA", at positions 35 to 154 of the family's 154-position model. The record is from RNAcentral.